GACGAACGCUGGCGGCGUGCUUAACACAUGCAAGUCGAACGGAAAGGCCCUGCUUUUGUGGGGUGCUCGAGUGGCGAACGGGUGAGUAACACGUGAGUAACCUGCCCUUGACUUUGGGAUAACUUCAGGAAACUGGGGCUAAUACCGGAUAGGAGCUCCCGCUGCAUGGUGGGGGUUGGAAAGUUUCGGCGGUUGGGGAUGGACUCGCGUCUUAUCAGCUUGUUGGUGGGGUAGUGGCUUACCAAGGCUUUGACGGGUAGCCGGCCUGAGAGGGUGACCGGCCACAUUGGGACUGAGAUACGGCCCAGACUCCUACGGGAGGCAGCAGUGGGGAAUAUUGCACAAUGGGCGGAAGCCUGAUGCAGCAACGCCGCGUGCGGGAUGACGGCCUUCGGGUUGUAAACCGCUUUCGCCUGUGACGAAGCGUGAGUGACGGUAAUGGGUAAAGAAGCACCGGCUAACUACGUG
This 468-nucleotide ribosomal RNA is filed under the name uncultured bacterium. RNAcentral's name for it is "partial 16S ribosomal RNA". It matches the Rfam family "Bacterial small subunit ribosomal RNA", at positions 28 to 507 of the family's 1533-position model. The record is from RNAcentral.